UACAGAGGGUGCAAGCGUUAAUCGGAAUUACUGGGCGUAAAGCGCGCGUAGGUGGUUUGUUAAGUUGGAUGUGAAAUCCCCGGGCUCAACCUGGGAACUGCAUUCAAAACUGACAAGCUAGAGUAUGGUAGAGGGUGGUGGAAUUUCCUGUGUAGCGGUGAAAUGCGUAGAUAUAGGAAGGAACACCAGUGGCGAAGGCGACCACCUGGACUGAUACUGACACUGAGGUGCGAAAGCGUGGGGAGCAAACCGG
Molecule: ribosomal RNA, 253 nt
Filed under: uncultured bacterium
Lineage: Bacteria
Description: partial 16S ribosomal RNA
Rfam family: Bacterial small subunit ribosomal RNA
Source: RNAcentral